Molecule: long non-coding RNA, 144 nt
Organism: Rhipicephalus microplus (southern cattle tick)
Lineage: Eukaryota; Metazoa; Arthropoda; Arachnida; Ixodida; Ixodidae
Source: RefSeq, a predicted model, not a curated record
AAGAAAGUCAAGAAGCAUGGUAAACAAGGGAAUCGGAUCAGCUUGACGCCAACAGGUCCUGCAGGAAAACAGAAUGAAGCAAGGAUUGAGGGCAACGGAAAUAUACUGCCAGAAAGUGGGACAGGGUCCAAUGAAGGUGUAACA